AUUCUGUUCAAGGUCUUCUAAAGGCGUCUGCAAUGCUCUUGCGACCGUUAGCUAAAUAUGUGUCCACAAUUCCCCCUUUUUUGUUUUUCGACAAUUAUCACCUGCUGUAUUGCCCUUUGCAAAAACCUAUGAACACAGUUAAUUAAACACAGCAAAAGCAACAUUGUACCGAAUAAAAUACAUAAGAAUAAAAGACUGUUCAGGUAAUGCCAAUGACACACAAAAAGGGGUUUGAUUAAUAGCUUUAGCCAGUAUCACCCAAACAUUCUUACUGUCCCACGGUGUUAAACGAUGUGGAUCAAUCACCGGUGUCACUGUCAUGCUGCUUACUACAGUCAGUGUGUUCCAUAUCAAUCUCAGCAUAAGGUUUCAAAUUUAUGGGCAAAC
Molecule: long non-coding RNA, 387 nt
Organism: Aquila chrysaetos chrysaetos
Lineage: Eukaryota; Metazoa; Chordata; Aves; Accipitriformes; Accipitridae
Exons: 3
Source: RefSeq, a predicted model, not a curated record